RNAcentral lists this ribosomal RNA (471 nucleotides) under uncultured bacterium. Its description in RNAcentral is "bacterial SSU rRNA". It matches the Rfam family "Bacterial small subunit ribosomal RNA", at positions 53 to 518 of the family's 1533-position model. The record is from RNAcentral.
ACAUGCAAGUCGAGGGCAGCAUAAAAGUAGCAAUACUUGGUGGCGACCGGCGCACGGGUGAGUAACGCGUAUGCAACCUACCUAUCAGAGGGGAAUAACCCGGCGAAAGUCGGACUAAUACCGCAUAAAACAGGGGCACCGCAUGGUGAUAUUUGUUAAAGAAAUUCGCUGAUAGAUGGGCAUGCGUUCCAUUAGGUAGUUGGUGAGGUAACGGCUCACCAAGCCGACGAUGGAUAGGGGAACUGAGAGGUUGGUCCCCCACACUGGUACUGAGACACGGACCAGACUCCUACGGGAGGCAGCAGUGAGGAAUAUUGGUCAAUGGGCGGGAGCCUGAACCAGCCAAGUCGCGUGAAGGAAGAAGGAUCUAUGGUUCGUAAACUUCUUUUGCAGGGGAAUAAAGUGCAGGACGUGUCCUGUUUUGUAUGUACCCUGAGAAUAAGGAUCGGCUAACUCCGUGCCAGCCGCCGC